ACGGGAGGCAGCAGUGGGGAAUAUUGCACAAUGGGCGCAAGCCUGAUGCAGCGACGCCGCGUGAGCGAAGAAGUAUUUCGGUAUGUAAAGCUCUAUCAGCAGGGAAGAAAAUGACGGUACCUGACUAAGAAGCCCCGGCUAACUACGUGCCAGCAGCCGCGGUAAUACGUAGGGGGCAAGCGUUAUCCGGAUUUACUGGGUGUAAAGGGAGCGUAGACGGCGCUGCAAGUCAGAUGUGAAAGGCUGGGGCUUAACCCCGGGACUGCAUUUGAAACUGCAGUGCUCGAGUGCCGGAGAGGUAAGCGGAAUUCCUAGUGUAGCGGUGAAAUGCGUAGAUAUUAGGAGGAACACCAGUGGCGAAGGCGGCUUUCUGGACAGUAACUGACGCUGAGGCGCGAAAGUGUGGGGAGCAAACAGGAUUAGAUACCCUGGUA
RNAcentral lists this ribosomal RNA (434 nucleotides) under uncultured Lachnospiraceae bacterium. Its description in RNAcentral is "bacterial SSU rRNA". It matches the Rfam family "Bacterial small subunit ribosomal RNA", at positions 341 to 792 of the family's 1533-position model. The record is from RNAcentral. Lineage: Bacteria; Bacillati; Bacillota; Clostridia; Lachnospirales; Lachnospiraceae.